AGAUUCCCAUCUUGGCAAGGAGAAGUGAGCCACUCCACCAAGGAUCGAGUCUUGGGCUCAUGGAGGUAACGAUAUGAGUUAAGCGUAGACAGAGCGACAUCCGGGCUGUAACGAAAGUGAAGCGGUAGAGCCACGUAACAACAACAUCCGAGGGCUGACAGGUUUGAACCCCUGGAAAGCAAUAGUAGGCAGCCGAUAAAGGCGAGGCUGUCGGAGACCUCGGCGGGGUCUGAGAGCA
Non-coding RNA from Planctomycetes bacterium GWF2_42_9, 238 nucleotides. The record is from Rfam. Lineage: Bacteria; Pseudomonadati; Planctomycetota.